UAAUAUUUAUACAUUUUAAUUCUGACACUAUGAAUAUUUUAUUCACAUGUAUGUGCACAUCGAUUUUAUAUUAUCUUUUCUUUCACAUUUGUAAAGCGCUUUAGAGAACUAAUGUUGAGAGGGCGCUAUAUAAAUCUUUUAAUUACAAUUUCAAUUACAGCUGCCAAAGUUUUCGUGAACCGCAGAUAUUAAAAUAUGAAUAUCUGCUUAUUUGCCGUUCACCUGAUUCAGGUUUUAUCUAUUUAGUACGUGUAUAGAUUGUGUCAUCUUGAACAAACAAUGUCAAUCACAAUUAUGAAGUACACACGGUCAUAUAGCAAGCAUUUGUGGAGAUUGUACUCUGAAUUUGUCCCGGGUUUGUGUACACAUGAUAUGAUAACACUCACGUGAUCUGUCAUAAAUGAGGAGGGUAGAUAGGAAGGUGAUUACGAGUUAUACUGACUUCAUUCACUCUAGAUCUCUACACGUCACGAUCAGCAUCCUACAUUAAACCGGCCAAACCACGCGGGGAUAACAUUGCAGCUUUUAGAGAGGACACGCUUCAGAUCUCUACACGUCACGAUCAACAUCCUACAUUAAACUGGCCAAACUACUCAGGGAUGUAGUUCUGCAUUAACUAAUCGCCACAGGAACAUUACAGCUUUUAGAAAGGACACGUUUCAGAUAAAUUGAUUUUUAGCAAUAAAGUUGGUCAUCUUUCAGACACCCUGACACGUAUACUGCAAGACUGUUCGAAAAUUUUCAUAGCGGACUGUUGAAAAUAUAUAUAAUGUUAGUCAGAAACGUCUAAAAAAGCAAUAAGAUGAGUAAUAUCCAAUCUAUUCCUUUUUUUUCAAUGUAGUUUAUUGUAAAGAAAAGUGGAUUUUUAAUUCAUUUCACGUUAUAGCUUGCAGACUUCAACUCAUAUAUGGAAUUCGUGUGAUCAUUUUAUCGCACAUUUCAUUGCAAAUGUUAUUCACAGGUACUUGAUGUCAAUUGUUUAACGUUGGUUAUGUGGCAAUCGCUAUUCACGCCAAAUCCAGGAAAAUGCAUGAAAUUGAUAUAAAAUGUUCACUUGAAUUUCCCGUGAGUCGCCUUUGUAGUUGUGUUAUCUGGUUGAGAUUUGAAAUCACAUUAAUCCAUUUUUAUCAAAUUAGUGUGCAUGUUCGCAUCUUGUCGCACAUUACAAUUUAAAUAUUUUCACACGUUAACCGUGCGCAAUGUGUUGUUGUGCAUAUGUCGUUUUGAAAAUUAUUUUGAACACAUUAUUGAUAGAUAAAAUCAAAGAUAACAAGAUUAACUCAUAGUGAAAA
Ostrea edulis (European flat oyster) is the source of this 1292-nucleotide long non-coding RNA. RefSeq lists it as uncharacterized. NCBI's taxonomy places the organism in Eukaryota, Metazoa, Mollusca, Bivalvia, Ostreida, Ostreidae. The transcript has 2 exons. The record is from RefSeq and is a predicted model, not a curated record.